GUUGAAUUUUAACAAAAGGUUGCUCAGCAUCUAUCAAGGCUAUCAUAAGGUUCUGGUAUGAAGAUGGCUUCAUAGCAUCAUCCCUCCUCCUGAUGGCUGGAUUCCCUCCUCCAUUUUUUUUUUUUUUGGAAUAGUUUAAGUAGAAUUGAUACCAGCUUUUCUGUUAAAAUUUGGUUGUGAAUCCAUCUGGUCCAGGUUAGUUGGUAAGUUCUUUAUUACUGAUUCAAUUUUGGAACAUGAUACUGAUCUGUUCUGGGUUUCAAUUUCUUCCUUUUUUAAUCUUGAGAGAUUGUGUGUUUCCAAAAAUUAAUCAAUUUCUUCUAUAUUUUCUAGUUUGUGUGCAUAGAGGUGUUGGUAAUAGUCUUUGAUAAUCAUUUGUAUUUCUGUAGGAUCAGUUAUAAUGUCCCCUUUGUCAUUUUUUAUGUGCUCUCUUUUUUUCUUUGUUAAUCUAGCUAGUGGUCUAUUGAUCUUGUUUAUUCUUUCAAAUAACCA
RNAcentral lists this long non-coding RNA (492 nucleotides) under Homo sapiens (human). Its description in RNAcentral is "HSALNT0112646". The record is from RNAcentral. Lineage: Eukaryota; Metazoa; Chordata; Mammalia; Primates; Hominidae.